RNAcentral lists this ribosomal RNA (402 nucleotides) under uncultured bacterium. RNAcentral describes it as "bacterial SSU rRNA". It matches the Rfam family "Bacterial small subunit ribosomal RNA", at positions 355 to 774 of the family's 1533-position model. The record is from RNAcentral.
UGGGGAAUAUUGGACAAUGGGGGAAACCCUGAUCCAGCAAUGCCGCGUGAGUGAAGAAGGCCUUAGGGUUGUAAAGCUCUUUCGCCCGCGAAGAUAAUGACGGUAGCGGGAGAAGAAGCCCCGGCUAACUCCGUGCCAGCAGCCGCGGUAAUACGGAGGGGGCUAGCGUUGUUCGGAAUUACUGGGCGUAAAGCGUACGUAGGCGGAUGCGCAAGUUGGGGGUGGAAUCCCGGGGCUUAACCUCGGAAUUGCCCUCAAAACUGCACGUCUUGAGACCGAGAGAGGUAAGGGGAAUUCCUAGUGUAGAGGUGAAAUUCGUAGAUAUUAGGAAGAACACCAGUGGCGAAGGCGCCUUACUGGCUCGGUACUGACGCUGAGGUACGAAAGCGUGGGGAGCAAACA